RNAcentral lists this ribosomal RNA (274 nucleotides) under uncultured bacterium. Its description in RNAcentral is "partial 16S ribosomal RNA". It matches the Rfam family "Bacterial small subunit ribosomal RNA", at positions 523 to 796 of the family's 1533-position model. The record is from RNAcentral.
AUACGGAGGGUGCGAGCGUUAAUCGGAAUUACUGGGCGUAAAGGGUGCGUAGGCGGCUUGAUAAGUCGGAUGUGAAAGCCCCGGGCUUAACCUGGGAAUUGCAUUCGAUACUGUCAGGCUAGAGUAUGUCAGAGGUUGGCGGAAUUCCUGGUGUAGCGGUGAAAUGCGUAGAUAUCAGGAGGAACACCAGUGGCGAAGGCGGCUAACUGGGACAAUACUGACGCUGAGGCACGCAAGCGUGGGGAGCAAACAGGAUUAGAAACCCUAGUAGUCC